AUUGAACGCUGGCGGCAGGCCUAACACAUGCAAGUCGAACGAGUGGCGGACUGGUGAGUAAUGUCUGGGAAACUGCCCGAUGGCGGGGGCUAACUACUGGAAACGGUAGCUAAUACCGCAUACCAUCGGAUGUGCCCAGAUGGGAUUAGCUAGUAGGUGGGGUAACGGCUCACCUAGGCGACGAUCCCUAGCUGGUCUGAGAGGAUGACCGGCGACACGGGGACUGAGACACGGUCCAGACGCCUACGGGAGGCAGCAGUGGGGAAUAUUGCACAAUGGGCGAGAGCAUGAUGCAGGCAUGCCGCGUGUAUGAAGAAGGCCUUCGGGUUGUAAAGUACUUUCAGCGAGGAGGCGGUACUCGCAGAAGAAGCACCGGCUAACUCCGUGCCAGCAGCCGCGGUAAUUC
Molecule: ribosomal RNA, 406 nt
Filed under: uncultured bacterium
Lineage: Bacteria
Description: partial 16S ribosomal RNA
Rfam family: Bacterial small subunit ribosomal RNA
Source: RNAcentral